This 59-nucleotide ribosomal RNA is filed under the name Drymonia urceolata. RNAcentral's name for it is "partial 18S ribosomal RNA". The record is from RNAcentral. Lineage: Eukaryota; Viridiplantae; Streptophyta; Magnoliopsida; Lamiales; Gesneriaceae.
UUUUAAAAAGGGAAAAAACGUACAAGGUUUCCGUAGGUGAACCUGCGGAAGGAUCAUUG